RNAcentral lists this ribosomal RNA (731 nucleotides) under uncultured bacterium. RNAcentral describes it as "bacterial SSU rRNA". It matches the Rfam family "Bacterial small subunit ribosomal RNA", at positions 94 to 823 of the family's 1533-position model. The record is from RNAcentral.
ACCGGCGCACGGGUGAGUAACGCGUAUCCAACCUGCCCACCACUUGGGGAUAACCUUGCGAAAGUAAGACUAAUACCCAAUGACGUCUCUAGAAGGCAUCUGAAAGGGAUUAAAGAUUUAUCGGUGAUGGAUGGGGAUGCGUCUGAUUAGCUUGUUGGCGGGGUAACGGCCCACCAAGGCGACGAUCAGUAGGGGUUCUGAGAGGAAGGUCCCCCACAUUGGAACUGAGACACGGUCCAAACUCCUACGGGAGGCAGCAGUGAGGAAUAUUGGUCAAUGGGCGAGAGCCUGAACCAGCCAAGUAGCGUGCAGGAAGACGGCCCUAUGGGUUGUAAACUGCUUUUAUAAGGGAAUAAAGUGAGCCUCGUGAGGCUUUUUGCAUGUACCUUAUGAAUAAGGACCGGCUAAUUCCGUGCCAGCAGCCGCGGUAAUACGGAAGGUCCGGGCGUUAUCCAGAUUUAUUGGGUUUAAAGGGAGCGUAGGCCGGAGAUUAAGCGUGUUGUGAAAUGUAGGCGCUCAACGUCUGCACUGCAGCGCGAACUGGUUUCCUUGAGUACGCACAAAGUGGGCGGAAUUCGUGGUGUAGCGGUGAAAUGCUUAGAUAUCACGAAGAACUCCGAUUGCGAAGGCAGCUCACUGGAGCGCAACUGACGCUGAAGCUCGAAAGUGCGGGUAUCGAACAGGAUUAGAUACCCUGGUAGUCCGCACGGUAAACGAUGGAUGCCCGCUGU